GAUGAACGCUGGCGGCGUGCCUAAUACAUGCAAGUCGAACGAAUCUUCUUCGGAAGAUGAGUGGCUAACGGGUGAGUAGUACAUAGGUAACCUGCCCCUGUUCGGCGGAUAACAGGAAGAAACUCCUGCUACUACCGCAUAGCCAUGAGCACCGCAUGGAGCCCAUGCCAACUAUCCUUUAUGUGUUAGCGCAGGGAUGGACCUAUGGCGCAUUAGUGGGUUGGCGGGGCAACGGCGCACCAAGGAAACGAUGCGUAGCCGGCCGGAGAGGGGGGACGGCAACAUUGCGACUGAGACACGGCCCAGACUCCUACGGGAGGCAGCAGUAGGGAAUUUUCGGCAAUGGGGGAAACCCUGACCGAGCAACGCCGCGUGAGCGAAGAAGGCCUUCGGGUCGUAAAGCUCUGUUGUAAAGGAAGAACGGCGCAUACAGGAAAUGGUAUGCGAGUGACGGUACUUUACCAGAAAGCCACGGCUAACUACGUGCCAGCCGCCGCCGUAA
This 502-nucleotide ribosomal RNA is filed under the name uncultured bacterium. Its description in RNAcentral is "partial 16S ribosomal RNA". It matches the Rfam family "Bacterial small subunit ribosomal RNA", at positions 28 to 523 of the family's 1533-position model. The record is from RNAcentral.